UACGGAGGGUGCGAGCGUUGUCCGGAAUCAUUGGGCGUAAAGGGCGCGUAGGUGGCCCGGUCAGCGUGCGGUGAAAGCUCGGGGCUCAACCCCGAGUCGGCCGUGCGAACUGCUGGGCUCGAGCACUGUAGAGGCAGGCGGAAUUCCGGGUGUAGCGGUGGAAUGCGUAGAGAUCCGGAAGAACACCGGUGGCGAAGGCGGCCUGCUGGGCAGUGGCUGACACUGAGGCGCGACAGCGCGAAAGCCAGGGGAGCAAACGGG
RNAcentral lists this ribosomal RNA (261 nucleotides) under uncultured bacterium. RNAcentral's name for it is "partial 16S ribosomal RNA". It matches the Rfam family "Bacterial small subunit ribosomal RNA", at positions 524 to 776 of the family's 1533-position model. The record is from RNAcentral.